GUCGGCAACACAGAGAUUCCAUUUCUUCCUGGGAUUAGGAAGCACGAAGUGUCCAGAUCUGCUUCUGAAAUCUCUUCCUCCCUUAAGCCAGGGUCAAAGCUGCCUCAUGCAGACGGAGAGGAGAAGCUGCGUUCCCUGCCUUUCCCGAAUUGUUUGUGGACUUUAAAUGAAGAAAAAGGCAAGACCUAAAUCCUGAACUCCUACCGCUAUAACACAUUCCUCUGCGCUAAGGAACUGACAUUCUAAAGGUGCAGAUACCCCCGGGCUGGAGGCUGAAUGGGCAAGAAGAUCCCGGCACAGCUCAGGCUGAGUCGAAAGACCGUGGUUUUUGGCCAGGCACAGUGGUUCAUGCCUGUAAUCCCAGCACUUUGGGAGGCUGAGGCAGGCAGAU
This 391-nucleotide long non-coding RNA is filed under the name Homo sapiens (human). RNAcentral describes it as "HSALNT0344506". The record is from RNAcentral. Lineage: Eukaryota; Metazoa; Chordata; Mammalia; Primates; Hominidae.